GCGACGAUGGCGGAGUGGUAACGCCCCCGCCUGCUAAGCGGGUGUCCCUGGUUCGAUUCCAGGUUGUCGCC
Non-coding RNA from Mycena floridula, 71 nucleotides. NCBI's taxonomy places the organism in Eukaryota, Fungi, Basidiomycota, Agaricomycetes, Agaricales, Mycenaceae. The record is from the annotation of a GenBank genome assembly.